This is a small nucleolar RNA of Amblyraja radiata (thorny skate), 110 nucleotides long. RefSeq annotates it as small nucleolar RNA SNORD89. The record is from RefSeq and is a predicted model, not a curated record. NCBI's taxonomy places the organism in Eukaryota, Metazoa, Chordata, Chondrichthyes, Rajiformes, Rajidae. The transcript has a single exon.
CCGGAGGGAUGAUGACAGUAAAAGGCCGAAUUGCAGCGCGGCCGAUGCAGUUUGUUCUCCGCGCCGCGCGAUGACAAAACUCCUUGAAGCGAAUUCUGUCUGACCUCUGC